Molecule: ribosomal RNA, 641 nt
Filed under: Limosilactobacillus mucosae
Lineage: Bacteria; Bacillati; Bacillota; Bacilli; Lactobacillales; Lactobacillaceae
Description: bacterial SSU rRNA
Rfam family: Bacterial small subunit ribosomal RNA
Source: RNAcentral
UGAUUGGACGUGCUUGCACGGACUUGACGUUGGUUUACCAGCGAGUGGCGGACGGGUGAGUAACACGUAGGUAACCUGCCCCAAAGCGGGGGAUAACAUUUGGAAACAGAUGCUAAUACCGCAUAACAAUUUGAAUCGCAUGAUUCAAAUUUAAAAGAUGGUUUCGGCUAUCACUUUGGGAUGGACCUGCGGCGCAUUAGCUUGUUGGUAGGGUAACGGCCUACCAAGGCUGUGAUGCGUAGCCGAGUUGAGAGACUGAUCGGCCACAAUGGAACUGAGACACGGUCCAUACUCCUACGGGAGGCAGCAGUAGGGAAUCUUCCACAAUGGGCGCAAGCCUGAUGGAGCAACACCGCGUGAGUGAAGAAGGGUUUCGGCUCGUAAAGCUCUGUUGUUAGAGAAGAACGUGCGUGAGAGCAACUGUUCACGCAGUGACGGUAUCUAACCAGAAAGUCACGGCUAACUACGUGCCAGCAGCCGCGGUAAUACGUAGGUGGCAAGCGUUAUCCGGAUUUAUUGGGCGUAAAGCGAGCGCAGGCGGUUUGAUAAGUCUGAUGUGAAAGCCUUUGGCUUAACCAAAGAAGUGCAUCGGAGACUGUCAGACUUGAGUGCAGAAGAGGACAGUGGAAAUCCGAUGUGGU